CUUUUGAACUCUCUGUGUAAAUCACUUCUUUCUACUUACUUGCUGUGCUUCUCUGAGUGCCUCGUGGCCUCUUUAUCACCACCUGUUGAAGGAAAUGUUAGAUCCAGAUAUGGAUGGAAGGGACUUUCGUAGCUAUAGAAACGAGGACUGAUUGGCACAAAGUUCCUGGGCUCUCCAGCCACAGUCGUCAUUUGGAAGGGAAUUCUAAGUCACCAGAGAGCUAACACUUAUUCUUGGGAGAAUGUAAGAGCAAAUCCUCCUUACGCUGCCAAACUGGCACAGGAUACUGCAGCCACUCUGCAAAUGAACAGUGCACAAUAAACAGGCCGAGAGAGAAAGCUUAAAGUUCUAAAAGCCCUCUUGAGGGAAGUGAGAAGGCAGUUCCUGGGAACAGUGAACAAAUGCCGUCAGAAGGUGGAAUCAUUGAUUUCAAUCAUGAAUGACUAAUGAUCGUGAUGGUGUGGUUUAGAACAGAAAUGCAGCUUCUACAGCCUGAAGAACUACCAGCCUUCUCUCCUGUGAUGUUCCAUUUAUACUUGCUUAAUAAAAGCAUCCCAA
This 558-nucleotide long non-coding RNA is filed under the name Homo sapiens (human). RNAcentral describes it as "HSALNT0323360". The record is from RNAcentral. Lineage: Eukaryota; Metazoa; Chordata; Mammalia; Primates; Hominidae.